UUACAUUUGUAAAACUUUUCCUCCAAAAGACCAAAGCUUCGUCGACAGAAAGGCCAAUAUCCUGAAAAAUUAGUAAAUUACUACAUAAAAAAUAAGUUUCAUACUUUUAAAAAUAGCCCAUAUUGAAGACGGCCAAAAUGCCGUAGAUGCUUAUCACGCUUAAGUACUUCAUGUAAAUGUUUGGCGCAUAAUGGAAAAUGUGAAACAAAACUGUCUACUUGUCCAGCAGUAAUAGCACCAGAUUUAGGAGCAACUAUUGAACUCUCGGGAGCAACGAAUCCUUUACUCAAAUGGUUGAGAAUUGGCAAAAGACGAUCGUCUUCAUCAAGCCUAGGAAGAGAUUUUGCGGUAGACUCAAGCGCUUUUUUUAAGUUUUCUUCAAACUCUUCAACAACUAGACUUACUUGUUCCGAAAAUGGUACGUAAGCGUAUCCCUUGUGAACGAAAACAGCCCUUCGUUCUACUAAAUCCGGAACUUUAAAAAAAGGUACUUUGAAGAAAGAUUCGUUUUCUAUAUUUCUUUGAGAAGAAGCCUGUAGCUUUUCAUAAAAAACGUCUUUUUCUUCUUGUGAAACAGAUUCCCAUUGAAAAUCAAGACUAUCUAUAAACGCUUGACGUUCUCGGGUUUCCUCAUUCACAAAUCGAAACCGAAAUAACGUGGAUUCAGCUCUUAAAAACCUGAUUCGUAAUUCAUCACUAAUGAAUGCGUUAGGAAAAGAAUAAAAGCAAGUUUAAAUGUAUUCAUAUAUAUAAUGCUUUCUGUUUAACUGAAGCAGCAAAUUGAUACCCACUUUAUGUUCAAUUUACUACUUAUGCCAUAACGCGAACGCAUUUAUAAGUCUAAAUGAGAUAUUUUUCGACAGACAGCACUCAAAUAUAGCACAUUUUUACUUACGAUCUGCUGAAAGCCAGGCGCAGAAUGAAAUGAGAAUAAUGAUCUUUCCUUCUUUCUUCAUCUAAGGAGUUUCCUUUUACAGUCCUAGCCAUGUUGCUACUCAUCGGCAGACGUUUAUCCAGUAUCUUUUUUAUAAUCCCGUUCAAUUCAUUUUUCGUCUUAUUGCGGAGCAUUGCUGACUCAAUUUCACCCAAAACUAAAUAGUUAGCUUACUCCAAAAGAAUAGAAAAUAAUAAAGAAAAUGGAAAGCAUACCAACUAAUCGGUCUAUUGCCCAUGUUUCAAACUCUUCAAUGCUUAUUUCAGAGACAGGAGGUUUCUUAUAAAAAUUAAGUCGCGUAGGAUAACUUAAACUCUCAAAACUAGCACUAGAAAAAUUUUGAUUCUUUUCAACUACUCGACUUUUGGUCGUUCUGAACAUGGUGGUUAGCGAAGAGUCUAUUUGCGGUAACAAAUUGUCGUGCCUCUCACCAAGAAACCUUUUUACUUUGAGUGUCUUUAAACAAAUAUUUUAAGCUGCUUAACCUUUUUGGUACUAAUACAAAACACGUUGCUAAUAAUUAAUGAAUUAUUUCUUCACUCGUUGUAUUCAGAAUUAUUGAAAUGAGAAAUGCAUACUACAGAAACGUCAACUGUAAAAACUCAUCGU
This is a non-coding RNA of Schizosaccharomyces pombe (fission yeast), 1543 nucleotides long. The record is from the annotation of a GenBank genome assembly. Lineage: Eukaryota; Fungi; Ascomycota; Schizosaccharomycetes; Schizosaccharomycetales; Schizosaccharomycetaceae.